RNAcentral lists this ribosomal RNA (232 nucleotides) under uncultured bacterium. RNAcentral's name for it is "partial 16S ribosomal RNA". It matches the Rfam family "Bacterial small subunit ribosomal RNA", at positions 99 to 334 of the family's 1533-position model. The record is from RNAcentral.
CGGACGGGUGAGUAAUGUCUGGGAAGCUGCCCGAUGGAGGGGGAUAACUACUGGAAACGGUAGCUAAUACCGCAUAACGUCGCAAGACCAAAGAGGGGGACCUUCGGGCCUCUUGCCAUCGGAUGUGCCCAGAUGGGAUUAGCUAGUAGGUGGGGUAACGGCUCACCUAGGCGACGAUCCCUAGCUGGUCUGAGAGGAUGACCAGCCACACUGGAACUGAGACACGGCCCAG